RNAcentral lists this unclassified non-coding RNA (410 nucleotides) under fungal sp. RNAcentral describes it as "partial internal transcribed spacer region". The stretch from base 1 to 46 matches the Rfam family "Eukaryotic small subunit ribosomal RNA", at positions 1786 to 1831 of the family's 1831-position model. Lineage: Eukaryota; Fungi. The record is from RNAcentral.
AAGUCGUAACAAGGUUUCCGUAGGUGAACCUGCGGAAGGAUCAUUAACACGUUAUCCACGUAAUAUCAACACCACACUGAACGAUGCUCCCUGUUAGAAGACUUCAAGGAUAUCGGUGCUUGACUAUUGUGGGCGGAUCGAGCUUCGGCUUGCUUCGCACGUCAUGCUUGCUGGUUAGGUCGACCCCGGGGCCGAGGGCGAAUCCGAGACACUUUCUUUCAGGCUUAUUGAUUCUCUUGUCCGGCGGCGAAAGCCGAUCCCAACCACCUUGGGCGACGAGACGACACCAUACCCCUUUCACCCUAUUUUACUAAUUUGACUGAUUAUACAUUCUUCGGGAGAAAUCCUGUUGAAUCUCUAAGAUUUAUCUUAACUAAGCACAACUCUUAGCAAUGGAUAUCUUGGUUCUC